CUCCCGAGGAGGAUGGUAUCGACAUUUCAAAAACAGUUUAAUUAUUCUGCGGCUGCCUGGCUAUUAGCUGCGACAAGAGAGCUCAGGGCUAUUUUUCAGCAUUAAUUUUCCAUUUGAAAUGAAUUCCUUUUGGUUACACUUUUUAAAUGUUUCUUUUAAUUAGACGCAAUUACUUCAGAAGAAUUGCUUUUAUUCCUCAGCCUGAGAUCCCAGCGAUAAAGUCGCUAUCUGGCCCCACCGAACGGCCGGGACGGCUCAUUUAGUCUCUGCACUAAAGUAUAUUGAACUAGGAAAUUAUACAGCGAAUCAACUAUUAAUUCCUUUUAUGAUCGCUCACUCUAACAUCUUGAAUGAGAUCUUCAGGGGGAAAUUUAGUCACAAUAGGGAUCAUUGUCUCCCCCCACCCCCUCCGCCCUCGCCACCCUUCCAGCCCUCCGCCUAGUGUGAGGGGAGCUAUCCUGGUGAUGGUCAAGGCACAGGGGCAGGAUGCCACGGGGCUCAUGGUUUUCCUGGGGUCUUUGGGGGUAGGGGGUAGAUAGUACGGCGGAAGCUGCUUUGCUGAAGGAGUCCCUUUUCAGACCUCAAGAAGAAGGAGGAUACUGUGACUAUGUGGAGACAAAGUAUCCCUGCCUUUGAAGACAGAGCCUCACAAUGUAGCCCUGAAUGGCUGGAACUCCUUGUAUACCAGGCUGGCCUUGACAUCACAGAUAUCGGCUCAUCUCUGCUUCCUAGGUACGGGGAUUAAAGACGUUAGUCAACCACAGCUUGCCAAAGGGCCUGGAGGUAGGGGACCACCACUACCUGUGUGUUCUUGGUCUGGGAGGUGACCCUGGCAGUGAAGAUGACUACAGGGGAAAUGGAGCAGGAUCUGAUCCCAUAGAAGAGGUCUUCUGAGUCCAUCGGAAUGAUGGGAGAUUGGGUUGCAUGAUGCUUGGAAAGUUCUUAGCAUACUGCUGAUGUUGGAGGAAGUGCUUACAGUAGACUGUUGUUAUUAUCAUCAUUAGUACUGGCUAUUAUUACAAUACCCAUCACUUUUGUAGUCAUCAUCGUCUUCAUCGUCAUCAUCAUCAUUGUCAUCAUCUUCACUAGGCAUGGCCAGGUGAGGCAGAGGUGUCUACCUGGGCCCCGAAAUUUCAUACCUUCUCUUUCAUAAUAUAAGAACAGCUGCCCAGACAGGAACUACAUUUCCCAUACUCCCAUGCGUGUGUGGGACCACAUGACUAAUUCUCAUUAGUGGACUGUGAACAGAAACAUAGCACAGGACAUAACAAGAUGAGUCCACUUUCUCUCUUCUCUCCUCCUCUACCAUCUGUGGAGAACCAGAGGACUCUGAGGCCCCCUAGGGAGUCUAGUCAUCCUGACUUCAAUGACCACAGUUCAAUUUUGCUUAUUCUUGAGUAUCAUGUAAAAGGAAUCAUAUAAAUACUUAUCAUUUUUCUACCUUCAUAUUUUGUAUUUUUGUAACUUCAUAUUUAUUCUUUGCUUUGCUAUUGUGUAGUAUUUGAAUAUAUCACACUCUAUUCCUUUCAUGUUCUUAUUGCUGGGGGCUUGUACUAUCUCCAGUGUUUAAUUAUUAUAAAUAAAACCACAAUGAGUA
Molecule: long non-coding RNA, 1597 nt
Organism: Mus musculus (house mouse)
Lineage: Eukaryota; Metazoa; Chordata; Mammalia; Rodentia; Muridae
Product: predicted gene 14221
Exons: 3
Source: RefSeq, a predicted model, not a curated record